This 406-nucleotide ribosomal RNA is filed under the name uncultured bacterium. Its description in RNAcentral is "partial 16S ribosomal RNA". It matches the Rfam family "Bacterial small subunit ribosomal RNA", at positions 30 to 526 of the family's 1533-position model. The record is from RNAcentral.
AUUGAACGCUGGCGGCAGGCCUAACACAUGCAAGUCGAGCGAGCGGCGGACGGGUGAGUAAUGUCCGGGAAACUGCCUGAUGGUGGGGGAUAACUACUGGAAACGGUAGCUAAUACCGCAUACUAUCAGAUGUGCCCAGAUGGGAUUAGCUAGUGGGUGGGGUAACGGCUCACCUAGGCGACGAUCCCUAGCUGGUCUGAGAGGAUGACCAGCCACACUGGAACUGAGACACGGUCCAGACUCCUACGAGAGGCAGCAGUGGAGAGUAUUGCACAAGGGGCGCAAGCCUGAUGCAGCCCUGCCGCGUGUGUGAAGGAGGCCUGCGGGUUGUAAAGCUCUUUCAGCGGGGAGGCGUUACCCGCAGAAGAAGCACCGGCUAACUCCGUGCCAGCAGCCGCGGUAAUUC